Molecule: non-coding RNA, 148 nt
Filed under: Ditylum brightwellii
Lineage: Eukaryota; Bacillariophyta; Thalassiosirophyceae; Lithodesmiales; Lithodesmiaceae
Source: RNAcentral
UAAAUCAGGUCAACCACUCUCACAACUUGAGAUACCAAAUAAUCAUGGCAGUGGUGGUGAUGGCGGUGAUUAUCUUCUUCAUACAGCUGCGAAAUUAACGAGAGAUGAUUUUCCGUAUGAUUUGUUUUAUCGAUGUGAUAAAUGUGGG